RNAcentral lists this ribosomal RNA (378 nucleotides) under uncultured eukaryote. Its description in RNAcentral is "SSU rRNA". It matches the Rfam family "Eukaryotic small subunit ribosomal RNA", at positions 587 to 969 of the family's 1831-position model. The record is from RNAcentral.
AGCUCCAAUAGCGUAUAUUAAAGUUGUUGCGGUUAAAAAGCUCGUAGUUGGAUUUCUGUUGAGAACGGCCGGUCCGCACUAUGUGCGUGUAUCUGGUUCGGUCUUGGCAUCCUCUUGGAGAACGUAACUGCGCUUGAUUGCGUGGUGCGGUAUUCAAGACUUUUGCUUUGAGGAAAUUAGAGUGUUCACGGCAGGCAAGCGCCUUGAAUAUAUUAGCAUGGAAUAAUAAUAUAGGAUCUCGGUUCUAUUUUGUUGGUUUCUAGAAUCAGGAUAAUGAUUAAUAGGGAUAAUUGGGGGCAUUUGUAUUAACGCGUCAGAGGUGGAAUUCUUGGAUUGCGUUGCGACAAACUACUGCGAAAGCAUUUGCCAAGGAUGUUU